ACGGGUGAGUAACACGUGACUAACCUACCCUCGAGUGUGGAAUAACAUCGGGAAACCGAUGCUAAUACCGCAUAACAUCGCAAGAUCAAAGGAGCAAUCCGCUUUAGGAGGGGGUCGCGGCAGAUUAGCUAGUUGGCGGGGUAAUGGCCCACCAAGGCGGUGAUCUGUAUCCGGCCUGAGAGGGCGCACGGACACACUGGAACUGAAACACGGUCCAGACUCCUACGGGAGGCAGCAGUGGGGAAUUUUGCGCAAUGGGGGAAACCCUGACGCAGCAACGCCGCGUGGAGGAUGAAGUCUCUUGGGACGUAAACUCCUUUCGAUUGGGAAGAUUAUGACGGUACCAAUAGAAGAAGCCCCGGCUAACUUCGUGCCACGGGGUAGUA
This 386-nucleotide ribosomal RNA is filed under the name uncultured bacterium. RNAcentral describes it as "bacterial SSU rRNA". It matches the Rfam family "Bacterial small subunit ribosomal RNA", at positions 102 to 525 of the family's 1533-position model. The record is from RNAcentral.